GAUGAAGAACGCAGCGAAAUGCGAUACGUAAUGUGAAUUGCAGAAUUCAGUGAAUCAUCGAAUCUUUGAACGCAUAUUGCGCUCUCUGGUAUUCCGGAGAGCAUGCUUGUUUGAGUAUCAGUAAACACCUCAACUUCCAUAUCUUUUUUUGAAAUGGGAGUUGGACUUGAGUGAUCCCAACGCUUUUCCUCACCGAAAAGUGGCGGGUUACUUGAAAUGCAGGUGCAGCUGGACUUUUCUCUGAGCUAUAAGCAUAUCUAUUUAGUCUGCCUAAAAAACAGAUAUUUACCUUUGCUGCAGCUAACAUAAAGGAGAUUAGUUCUUGUGCUGACUGAUGCAGGAUUCACAAAGACAGCUUCGGCCGACUUUGUAAACUCGAUCUCAAAUCAAGUAAGACUACCCGCUGAACUUAAGCAUAUCAAUAAGCGGAGGA
RNAcentral lists this unclassified non-coding RNA (433 nucleotides) under soil metagenome. Its description in RNAcentral is "partial contains 5.8S ribosomal RNA, internal transcribed spacer 2, and large subunit ribosomal RNA". The stretch from base 1 to 120 matches the Rfam family "5.8S ribosomal RNA", at positions 35 to 154 of the family's 154-position model. The record is from RNAcentral.